AAACUUGAGAGUUUGAUCAUGGCUCAGAACGUACGCUGGCGGCACGCCUAACACAUGCAAGUCGAACGAAGUAGCAAUACUUAGUGGCAGACGGGUGAGUAACAUGUAGGUAUCUGCCCUUUGGCCUGGAAUAACACGAGGAAACUUGUGCUAAUACCGGAUAAGUCUUUACGGAGAAAGCUUUAUGCACCAUUGGAUGAGCCUGCACUUGAUUAGUUUGUUGGUAGGGUAAUGGCCUACCAAGACUGUGAUCAAUAGCUGAUUUGAGAGGAUGAUCAGCCACAUUGGGACUGAGACACGGCCCAAACUCCUACGGGAGGCAGCAGUGGGGAAUCUUGCACAAUGGAGGAAACUCUGAUGCAGCGAUGCCGCGUGAGUGAAGAAGGCCCUUGGGUUGUAAAGCUCUUUCGUCGGGGAAGAAAAUGACUGUACCCGAAUAAGAAGGUCCGGCUAACUUCGUGCCAGCAGCCGCGGUAAUACGAAGGGACCUAGCGUAGUUCGGAAUUACUGGGCUUAAAGAGUUCGUAGGUGGUUGAAAUAGUUGGUGGUGAAAUCCCAGAGCUUAACUCUGGAACUGCCAUCAAAACUUUUCAGCUAGAGUAUGAUAGAGGAAAGCAGAAUUUCUAGUGUAGAGGUGAAAUUCGUAGAUAUUAGAAAGAAUACCAAAUGCGAAGGCAGCUUUCUGGAUCAUUACUGACACUGAGGAACGAAAGCAUGGGUAGCGAAGAGGAUUAGAUACCCUCGUAGUCCAUGCCGUAAACGAUGUGUGUUAGACGUUGGAAAUUUAUUUUCAGUGUCGCAGGGAAACCGAUAAACACACCGCCUGGGGAGUACGACCGCAAGGUUAAAACUCAAAUGAAUUGACGGGGACCCGCACAAGUAGUGGAGCAUGUGGUUUAAUUCGAAGAUACGCGCAGAACCUUACCAACACUUGACAUGUUCGUCGCGACUCUAAGAGAUUAGAGUUUUCGGUUCGGCCGGACGAAACACAGGUGCUGCAUGGCUGUCGUCAGCUCGUGUCGUGAGAUGUUGGGUUAAGUCCCGCAACGAGCGCAACCCUCACUUUUAGUUGCCAUCAUUAAGUUGGGCACUCUGAAAGAACUGCCAGUGAUAAGCUGGAGGAAGGUGGGGAUGACGUCAAGUCCUCAUGGCCCUUACGUGUUGGGCUACACACGUGCUACAAUGGUAUCUACAACAGGAAGCAAGACUGCGAAGUUAAGCAAAUCCCUAAAAGAUACCUCAGUUCGGAUUGCACUCUGCAACUCGAGUGCAUGAAGCUGGAAUUACUAGUAAUCGUGGAUCAGCGUGCCACGGUGAAUGCGUUCCCGGGUCUUGUACACACCGCCCGUCACACCAUGGGAGUUGGUUCUACCUUAAGGCAAGGUUUUAAACCCUUGACCACGGUAUAGUCAGCGACUGGGGUGAAGUCGUAACAAGGUAGCCGUAGGGGAACCUGCGGCUGGAUUACCUCCUUU
Molecule: ribosomal RNA, 1475 nt
Filed under: Candidatus Pelagibacter sp.
Lineage: Bacteria; Pseudomonadati; Pseudomonadota; Alphaproteobacteria; Candidatus Pelagibacterales; Candidatus Pelagibacteraceae
Description: bacterial SSU rRNA
Rfam family: Bacterial small subunit ribosomal RNA
Source: RNAcentral